Molecule: long non-coding RNA, 836 nt
Filed under: Ovis aries (sheep)
Lineage: Eukaryota; Metazoa; Chordata; Mammalia; Artiodactyla; Bovidae
Description: lncRNA (ENSOARG00000025284.1)
Source: RNAcentral
UACGGGCCCGGCUGGCGCCGUACUGCCCGCCGACGUGCUGCAUUAUUCAUGAGACGCGGCCAGCCGCGCCACGCUACGGGCCGAAGGCGGCACGCAGUCACCGCCCCUGUUUUCUGCAUAUUCAUAAGGAUGGCUGGCCCCACCUCUCAAGGCCCCAGAGGCGUCCACUUCCGUGCCCGGACUCCGCCCCGACACGCGCACUCCUUCAGGCCCCGCCUCAGUCUCUCCAAGUCUUCCGUCUUUGGCUUCUGUGGAGAGUCCCAGCGAGGGCGUGGAGGGGACCGGGCUGCGCAAAACACGUGGGGGCGCGGAAGCGGAGGCUGGCUGGAUGGGGUUUUAAGAGCCCUCAUGGCUCCAGCGGAGGUACCAGGGAAGGCCUUGAUUGGGUCACUGUGAGUCACAUGAUCGCCCAGGAGCCAAUCACUGUGGCCAGGCCGCUGGACGGCUCUGAUUGGUCAGGCCUGAGUUGCGGAUCCACUCCUGAAGGCUGGUGGGGCACCAGCCCCAUCUGUGUGGUAAGGAGUAAAGGUGAGUUCUACCAGGAGGCCUUGAAUGCCAGGGCAUUCAAAGACACUGAUGAUGCUACACUGGGUGACCCCAACCAGCACUCAAGUUGUCCUUUAGGGAAGAUGUGAGAUGGAGACGUGCAAAGGUCACCCUGUUGAAGUGCUCAGGAGACGUGAGCUUCCACACACAAAGCUCAUUCUUCCGUGUUCACUUCCAAUUCAUGGCCCACUGCAAGUCGCACCCCUUGAGGGCAAGGGCUAGCCUGAGUCAUCACUCAAGACAGGGUACACAGAAGGCACUGGUAUACAUUUUGAUAAGAAAGAAAAUCC